GUGCCAGCAGCCGCGGUAAUACAGAGGGGGCAAGCGUUGUUCGGAAUUACUGGGCGUAAAGGGCGCGUAGGCGGCCUUCUAAGUCGAACGUGAAAUCCCCGGGCUCAACCCGGGAACUGCGUCCGAGACUGAAAGGCUCGAAUCCGGGAGAGGGAUGUGGAAUUCCAGGUGUAGCGGUGAAAUGCGUAGAUAUCUGGAGGAACAUCGGUGGCGAAGGCGGCAUCCUGGACCGGUAUUGACGCUGAGGCGCGAAAGCCAGGGGAGCAAACGGGAUUAGAUACCCGCGUAGUCC
Molecule: ribosomal RNA, 292 nt
Filed under: uncultured bacterium
Lineage: Bacteria
Description: partial 16S ribosomal RNA
Rfam family: Bacterial small subunit ribosomal RNA
Source: RNAcentral